AGCCCUCUGUAUCUAUACAGAGAUUUUGUCACACAUUAGAUCAAAAGGGCGGAUGAGAGUCCCAAGAUAUGUGAAGUG
This 78-nucleotide microRNA precursor is filed under the name Schistosoma margrebowiei. RNAcentral describes it as "mir-3492 microRNA precursor family". It matches the Rfam family "mir-3492 microRNA precursor family". The record is from Rfam by way of RNAcentral. Lineage: Eukaryota; Metazoa; Platyhelminthes; Trematoda; Strigeidida; Schistosomatidae.